RNAcentral lists this ribosomal RNA (549 nucleotides) under uncultured Glomus. Its description in RNAcentral is "SSU rRNA". It matches the Rfam family "Eukaryotic small subunit ribosomal RNA", at positions 548 to 1098 of the family's 1831-position model. Lineage: Eukaryota; Fungi; Glomeromycota; Glomeromycetes; Glomerales; Glomeraceae. The record is from RNAcentral.
UUGGAGGGCAAGUCUGGUGCCAGCAGCCGCGGUAAUUCCAGCUCCAAUAGCGUAUAUUAAAGUUGUUGCAGUUAAAAAGCUCGUAGUUGAACCUCGGGAUCAAUGGAUCGGUCAUGCCAUCGGUAUGUACUGGUCUCAUUGGUUCUCACCUUCUAAGGAACCAUGAUGUCAUUAAUUUGAUGUUGUGGGGAAUUAGGACUGUUACCUUGAAAAAAUUAGAGUGUUUAAAGCAGGCUAACGCUUGAAUACAUUAGCAUGGAAUAAUGAAAUAGGACAUCGCAUUCUAUUUUGUUGGUUUCUAGGAUCGAUGUAAUGAUUAAUAGGGAUAGUUGGGGGCAUUAGUAUUCAAUUGUCAGAGGUGAAAUUCUUGGAUUUAUUGAAGACUAACUACUGCGAAAGCAUUAGCCAAGGAUGUUUUCAUUAAUCAAGAACGAAAGUUAGGGGAUCGAAGACGAUCAGAUACCGUCGUAGUCUUAACCAUAAACUAUGCCGACUAGGGAUCGGAUGAUGUUGAUUUUUUAAUGACUCAUUCGGCACCUUACGGGAAAC